Molecule: ribosomal RNA, 157 nt
Filed under: uncultured Elaphomyces
Lineage: Eukaryota; Fungi; Ascomycota; Eurotiomycetes; Eurotiales; Elaphomycetaceae
Description: 5.8S ribosomal RNA
Rfam family: 5.8S ribosomal RNA
About the family: 5.8S ribosomal RNA (5.8S rRNA) is a component of the large subunit of the eukaryotic ribosome. It is transcribed by RNA polymerase I as part of the 45S precursor that also contains 18S and 28S rRNA. Functionally, it is thought that 5.8S rRNA may be involved in ribosome translocation.
Source: RNAcentral
AAACUUUCAACAAUGGAUCUCUUGGUUCCGGCAUCGAUGAAGAACGCAGCGAAAUGCGAUAAGUAAUGCGAAUUGCAGAAUUCCGUGAGUCAUCGAAUCUUUGAACGCACAUUGCGCCCCCCGGCUUCCCGGGGGGCAUGCCUGUCCGAGCGUCAUU